This 468-nucleotide ribosomal RNA is filed under the name uncultured bacterium. Its description in RNAcentral is "partial 16S ribosomal RNA". It matches the Rfam family "Bacterial small subunit ribosomal RNA", at positions 28 to 507 of the family's 1533-position model. The record is from RNAcentral.
GAUGAACGCUGGCGGCGUGCUUAACACAUGCAAGUCGAACGGAAAGGCCAUUGCUUGCACUGGUACUCGAGUGGCGAACGGGUGAGUAACACGUGGGUGAUCUGCCCUGCACUUCGGGAUAAGCCUGGGAAACUGGGUCUAAUACCGGAUAGGACAAUGGCUUGGAUGCGGUUGUGGAAAGCUUUUGGGGUGUGGGGUGAGCUCGCGGCCUAUCCGGUUGUUGGGGGGGUAAUGGGCUACCAAGGCGUCGGCGGGUCGGCGGGCUGGGGGGGUGGACGGGCACCAUUGGGCUGGGGUACGGGCCAGGCUCCUACGGGGGGGAGGAGGGGGGGAUAUUGGACAAAUGGGGGAAGGCCGGAGGAAGGAAGGCGGGGGGGGGGAGGAGGGCUUUGGGGUGGAAACUCCUUUCGCGAAGGAAGGAGGGUUUUUGUGACGGUACCUGGAGAAGAAGCACCGGCUAACUACGUG